AGUGUGUGUGUGUGUGUGUGUGUGAAGAAAGAGUUGGAAAGGAGAGCAGGAUAUAAUGUUCAUGACAACUUCAGAUGUUUUUUCAAACGGGCAUCGUGACAACAGCCUGCCACAGAGUUUGGGUCAUCAGUGUAGUCGUUAAGCAGGCCGUAAUGGGCCGUGCGAGGCUGUUCUGCUCUGGCGCCGGGCCGGCUGACCUGUGGAUCACACCAACAUUAUCGGCCGACGGAUCGCACCAUUAUGCCCUUGAUGGAGGGGAACUGUGGAUGUGUCUGGAGGAGAUCGAAAAUGCGUUCCCAGUGUGCUGCCAAUCUGCAGACACGCCACAGGCAGAAGCACUAAAGGUCACAGCUGUCUGCGAUGCAGCAGAGACUAUCGAACGUGAGGGAAGAGAACCAAACAACGAUGAUUUGUCAUUCCGGGUGACUUCCUUACAAAAUGCAAUGCUUCUGUUGUCUAGAUGACUAAUAAGGCAGUUUUAAAAUAAAAAUAGAAACUCCAAUGAUACAACAUUGUCUUGUGAAAUGAAAUAAAUAAUCAACCCUGACCUGCGGCGUUGUUGUAUUCCAGCAUUCUAUGUCUGCCAAUUAUUCAUUUACUCUAUCCACAUGAAAAGGUUUUUCAUGUUUUAGAUUAAUCAAAAUGAAUGCAGAAAACUUUCUUC
Gasterosteus aculeatus aculeatus (three-spined stickleback) is the source of this 664-nucleotide long non-coding RNA. Lineage: Eukaryota; Metazoa; Chordata; Actinopteri; Perciformes; Gasterosteidae. The record is from Ensembl.